This 231-nucleotide long non-coding RNA is filed under the name Salvia miltiorrhiza (redroot sage). RNAcentral's name for it is "long non-coding RNA (SMIL_LNC010904)". The record is from RNAcentral. Lineage: Eukaryota; Viridiplantae; Streptophyta; Magnoliopsida; Lamiales; Lamiaceae.
AGGGCUGGGAAUUUCGGGAUCGGGUAAUCGGGUACCCGAUACCUGACCCGAAAAAAUUGGGUAUCGGGUACCCUAUACCCGAAAAAUUCGGGAUCGGGGUCGGGGUCGGGUAUUUAGGGUGUGAAAAAAUCGGGUAUCGGGUAUACCCGAAUUACCCGAUUUUUUAAUUAAUAUAUUUUAAAUUACUCUCAAUCCCAGCCCACUGCCGUUCGGCCCGUUCCCAUUUCAAAG